Molecule: long non-coding RNA, 2829 nt
Organism: Lampris incognitus (smalleye Pacific opah)
Lineage: Eukaryota; Metazoa; Chordata; Actinopteri; Lampriformes; Lampridae
Exons: 2
Source: RefSeq, a predicted model, not a curated record
ACUGCCAUAUUAAGGCCCUUGCAUAGUUCUGAAAUUCCUUGAAAUGGAGGAUGUGCAGGAAGCUUGAGGCUUGUGUGUGUUGGCGGGGUGGUUGUUGAUCCGCGGGAUCUUCUCUAGCUAUUGAUUGUGCUAUUUCAAUAUGAGGAGCUGCAUGGAAAGCCGGAUUGGGUGCGAGUGAGAGUAUGGUAUGAAACAGUGGCGGCUGGUGCUAAAAAAAAUUUUUUUGGGGGGGGGGGGCAAUUUACCUUGGCACAGCACACCUGACAGCUGUUUUAAUGUCCACACAGUCACAGAGUUAUUAAGAAGGACAAUGCGGCCUAUAGAUUUUAUCAGGGUUAGUAGACGGUGGAUGAUUGACAGUCGAAACGAGGCGUGGUGGUGGGUGCAAACAUGAUUGACAGCCACGAGAAUUGUCCAAUCACAUUAGAUCAAAAAACAUUAGAACCAAUUCGCUACCAAAAAAAGCGGGAGUGUCCAUCGAAAAUCUGAAGAAACCAGUCAGACAGCAGCCUCAGGUCACCUGCUUGAAAAAGGUUUGAGGGCUUACAUAAGGUGUGGUUUGGCCGGCGCCCCUCACCCAGGAAGUAUAUGUAUUCAGACAGGAAGUAUAUGUAUUCAGACAGGAAGUAUAUGUAUUCAGACAGAAAUCAACCAAACACCAUGUGGAACCAAUAUUCAAUGGCUGCUGACAGGCGCUCGCAGACUGAAAACACUUUUAUUUCAUCAUUAUUUGCAUUAUACAACUAAAUUAUAUUUAACAUGUUUAAGUAGAUUUUCAUCUCUUGAUAUUUGGAGGGGGCGGUGCCCCAGCACCCUGUACUGGCCAGCCGCCACUGGUAGGAAUAAGGUUUGGGUUAGGAACGGUGCUGGUGUUUUUCAAAGGGGCAUUGCCCGUCACAGAGGUUUUGCUUAACUAGACCCCACACCAUGCUCCCUCUUGAACUCUGACCUUCAGAACCUUUUCUCUACUUAUCCAUAUUCCAAUACUGAUCACUGCACACUUUGAGAUUGCUGCCACACUUAGGCCUCCACCUAGUUCACAACAUUACAGUAACGGCUUACAUCCUUGACAACAUGGUUUAAUUACACUUGAUUCAACCGGCUACGACUAAUGAUGAGUAUUUUAUGUAAGAGGCCUGUGGCAAAUCUGCACCACAGCCAGGACCUCCCUGACAAAAAAGACUCUAAAAACACCAGAAGUUAAAACCAUUUUGGCUAGCCAAUCCAGAUUUUGACGCAGGUUUCCCAUACCUCAUUUUGCUAGCUACCGGCACAGAAUCUCCCUGUGAUCCGCUGGUGGAGGCGUCGUCCCCAACCCUCCUCUCCCCGACUUCCCCGCCGGGAACAUCCCAGCUCUCUUGAUGAUGCCCCUUCCCCUAGUCCCCUCCAUGAGGCAGCUUCUUUUUUUUUAUAUAUAAAUUUAUUUGUAGUUUUUCCCCUUAUCCCACCCGAUUAACCCAAUGGCAUACGGCCGGAACUCUUGUCGAAUAACUCCCCUGGCUCACGUUUCCACAGGAAGGAGAUAGUCGUAACACCAGCUUCCUUCAAACUCGUGUCGGCGGCUCUCGCCAUCUUACACGCUGAAACCUCUCAUGGAUUGCAUUACCCUCAGGCCGCGAAGGAGGCGUAGGGAGAAUGCUUUCGGUUGCUUGGCUGCAGGCGCCCGGGUGGGCCAGAGGGGUCGCUGGAGAACGACGAGUCCCCGAACACUACACCCACUAUCCCUCGGGUAAGGGUGGCCUAAUGAAUGCCUUACCCCGUGGACGCUCUGGCCGUGACCGGUUACGGCGAGUCUGGGAUACCAACCUCCCAGCCACAUGACGAGCGGGUUGCAAGAACGGCGGGUUAUUCCGCUCGGCCAUCAGAGCGGCCCUAUGAGGCAGCUUCUUGCCUCUCAGCCUCGCAGACCGGGAGAGGCAGUUGCAUCCUCAAUUGCAGGGGGGCUGGCCGACAGACUGCAGGGUUUGCUGCUGGGCAAGACACCGAUGCUCCUGGCGGGGAUGGAGAGGGCUGGCCAACCUGGGUUGGGGAUGGGCUGUUGUCCCUCAGCAACUGGUUGUUUUUGUUUUUUUAUUUUUUUUAUUUAUUUUGAAAUACAUUAUUGAUCUCUGUGGGGAAAUUCUGCUCUGCAUUUAACCCAUCCUGGCUGUGUAGCUAGGAGCAGUGGGCAGCCACCGUGCAGCAUCUGGGGACCAACUCCAGUUUGUCUUGCCAUGCCUCAGUCAAGGGCACAGACAGGAGUAUUAACCCUCACAUGCAUGUCUUUUAUGGAGGGGGAAACCGGAGCACCCGGAGAAAACCCACCGCAGACGAGGAGAACAUGCAAACUCCACACAGAGGACGACCUGGGAGACCCUCGAGGUUGGACAACCGCGGGGUUCGAACCCAGGACCUUCUUGCUGGGAGGCGACAGCGCUAACCACUGCACCACUGUGCAGCUCUUGGAAUCCCCGUACGGGCCACCACUGUGGCAGAUCUGCACCACAGCCAGGGAACCCUGACACAGACAUGGACAAAGAUGAUCAGUCAGGGCACAACAGCCUAUUCAUAAAAAACCAGGACUCUAAAAACAUCAGGUGAAACUGUUCAAAGACUAAAAGCAAAUGCCCAUUUAAAGUCUUUUCAGUGGGCAGAGAGUCGUGUGGGUCUAUGUCCCCACAGCCUUAAGCUCUCCUCCUGGUUCUGGUGUGGCUUCAUGUGGGCUCUGUCCCGAGUAUAUUAGACUCAGUCCACACUCUACUCUGCCACAAGCACAUACAAGCAAAGAGAUGUAAUUCAUCAUGGUUGCUCGACAAAGAAACAUCCACAAUAAAUUUUCAAGAAUGGAAA